UGUGACGUUUCGCAGCGCCAUCAUCGGUGGUUGAACUGGCGAAUACGCGCUAUCUGUGAUGUCGUCAUGACAUUAGAUAUAUUUUGCUGUUCGUCAGGUUUUUUUUUAUCAAAACAUUGUACCUUUUUCAUCGGUAUUUGUGGAUUUUCCGGCUUUGUGUGCCUUUAACGUGUUCGAUAUAUGUGUAAAGAUCAAUUUAUUGGUGUGGUAUGUGGAUUGCAACAUCUCAAAUAGUUUAUGUUAUCUUUAGAGCAUCAAGAAUAUUUAGUGGUUUUCAACUGUUGAAUUAUAUUUUCGGGCAAAAAGUGCGAGAUACAUAAACAAAAAAUAGCUAAAUUGAUUUAUGCAUAUUUAUCUGGAAUGCUAUCUCGAAACUGACAACUGCAAACAAAUGGGCUUGGACCAGGUUCCCGUUGCUUCCGAAAUGUAUUUAAAAAAUUCUGCCACUGCAUAAAAAGAUAAAUAUUACCUUAUUAAAAGUA
Dendroctonus ponderosae (mountain pine beetle) is the source of this 482-nucleotide long non-coding RNA. RefSeq lists it as uncharacterized. The transcript is spliced from 2 exons. The record is from RefSeq and is a predicted model, not a curated record. NCBI's taxonomy places the organism in Eukaryota, Metazoa, Arthropoda, Insecta, Coleoptera, Curculionidae.